This 130-nucleotide microRNA precursor is filed under the name Oryza sativa (Asian cultivated rice). Its description in RNAcentral is "miR815b stem-loop (osa-MIR815b)". Its record names the gene osa-MIR815b. The stretch from base 27 to 104 matches the Rfam family "MIR815 microRNA precursor family". Lineage: Eukaryota; Viridiplantae; Streptophyta; Magnoliopsida; Poales; Poaceae. The record is from miRBase by way of RNAcentral.
CUAAUGGUUCACCUCGUUUUGCGUAUAUUCCCAAUCUUCUCUAUUUCCUUCUCCUCAAACACAGCCUGGGAGUGUUUGAGAAGGGGAUUGAGGAGAUUGGGAAGAUACGUAAAACGAGGUGAGCCAUUAG